This 254-nucleotide ribosomal RNA is filed under the name uncultured bacterium. RNAcentral describes it as "partial 16S ribosomal RNA". It matches the Rfam family "Bacterial small subunit ribosomal RNA", at positions 524 to 776 of the family's 1533-position model. The record is from RNAcentral.
UACGGGGGGGGCAAGCGUUGUUCGGAAUUAUUGGGCGUAAAGCGCACGUAGGCGGUUCGUUAAGUCGGAUGUGAAAGCCCUCGGCUCAACCUUGGAACUGCCUUUGAUACUGGGGAUCUUGAGUCCGGGAGAGGUGAGUGGAACUGCGAGUGUAGAGGUGAAAUUCGUAGAUAUUCGCAAGAACACCAGUGGCGAAGGCGGCUCACUGGCCCGGUACUGACGCUGAGGUGCGAAAGCGUGGGGAGCCAAACAGG